Molecule: long non-coding RNA, 1146 nt
Filed under: Pongo abelii (Sumatran orangutan)
Lineage: Eukaryota; Metazoa; Chordata; Mammalia; Primates; Hominidae
Description: lincRNA
Source: RNAcentral
GGAAAUGGUGCUCUGCAUCACUGGAGGAAGCAAGUGUGAAACCUCAGUCCACCCCGUCACUCGAUCAGAAGAAUUCCCAUUGGACAGCUGGCUUGCAUGUGGACCCUCUGGAACGAAAAGGAAGAAAGAGCCCCUCACUCAUGUUUCCCGCUGUGCCCACCUGCAGUGCAUUGCUUUAGGACUUGACAGAUGAAAUCAGCAUCUUCCCAAACUUCUCUGCUGGAAGACUGUCUGGAAUGUCUCCCCUUGGCCCUCUGGGGGAUGCUGCCCACUCCACAGGGCUCCCUGCAGCUCUGUCUGAUUAUAAAGCUUCUCCCUAAUGGGCAAGAUCUCACACAUGAUAGAGCCAUAAAACGUGGCACUCCUGGCUGGCCCUGCUGCUUGUCUGAUAAGGGAGAUGAAGGGACUCGCCAGCACAGGCAGAGGGCCCUGGGUCUUACCCCGCCCCCGUGCCUCCUCCCCACCCCAGCUGGUCUCGGCUUCCAGCAUGUUGGAAGGCCUGUUCUACAGAACACAAAGCCCAUGUUUUGCAAUGAUGAGGAUUCCAUGUUCAAGAACGGUUGGGAAAUCUCUCCCCUCCUAGGGAUUCAAAACACCCAUGAGCACAGUCAUGGCUGUGAGGAGGCUUCCAGUAAAGAAAACCUGCUCGCAUUUCCCCAGGACACAUUGCUGAAGCUUGUCACGGUGGUGAGAGAGACCGGUGGUCUCCUAGGAGGCAUGGAGCAGCCUUCCCACACUCUCUGCACGUACACAUCCUCGGGGGAACUGGUCCAGGGGCAGAUUCUAACACCCCAGGCCUCGGCUGAGGCUCAACACUGUGUCUCUCACAAGUCCCCGGGGGACAGUGAUGUCGCAGGUUCACAGGCCACAGGGAUCCAGAGUGGCUGCUGAUGAGAAGACAGAGCACAAAAAGGUUAAACCAUGCCUAUGGUCACCCCUAUCUGGUGAAGCUGAGAUUUGAAGUGGCGUUUCGACCCUAGAGCUGAGCUGAUUAUCACCAUGACAUUCAACCUUCCAGAGUCCUGCAGACCCUCAAUAGGGUGCCCUGCCCUCCUGUCCAUGCCUCACGCCUGGGCCUCUCAGGCCUAGCAGAGUGGUGUAGGACAUUCACAGAUGGGCCAGGGCAUCCCUGUAUGUGGCCCUUCC